CAGCAGCCUCGGGAAUACCGAGGGUGCGAGCGUUAAUCGGAUUUACUGGGCGUAAAGCGUGCGUAGGCGGCUUCUUAAGUCGGAUGUGAAAUCCCUGAGCUUAACUUAGGAAUUGCAUUCGAUACUGGGAAGCUAGAGUAUGGGAGAGGAUGGUAGAAUUCCAGGUGUAGCGGUGAAAUGCGUAGAGAUCUGGAGGAAUACCGAUGGCGAAGGCAGCCAUCUGGCCUAAUACUGACGCUGAGGUACGAAAGCAUGGGGAGCAAACAGGAUUAGAUACCCCUGUAGUCCCUGUCUCUUAUAC
This 301-nucleotide ribosomal RNA is filed under the name uncultured bacterium. RNAcentral's name for it is "partial 16S ribosomal RNA". It matches the Rfam family "Bacterial small subunit ribosomal RNA", at positions 509 to 807 of the family's 1533-position model. The record is from RNAcentral.